Molecule: ribosomal RNA, 558 nt
Filed under: Triticum aestivum (bread wheat)
Lineage: Eukaryota; Viridiplantae; Streptophyta; Magnoliopsida; Poales; Poaceae
Description: partial small subunit ribosomal RNA
Source: RNAcentral
GACCUCUCCCUCUCCCUUUCCCUGGUUCCCACCGCCACGCCGGCGCUCAACAAGGACAACUACCUCGCCAUCUGCCUCACCGCGCUCGCCGCCACCAUCAAGGAGCAGCAGGCGAGCGUGUGGAACCCGUCCCCUACCCGGGCUUAGGAGCUGCGGUUCAGCUGCGCGGUCUGCGGGAAGGAGUUUGCAUCGUACCAGACGAUCGACGGGCACAAGUCUAGCCACCGCAAGCCGCCGCCCACCAGAGAGUACUGCAUUGCCACACAGGCGUCCAUGGGCGGUGGGUCAGAGGCGAGCGCGGUGGCGUCCUCGGUGCUCGUCUGUGAGCGGGGCUUCACGACCGAGCAGGCGCUCAGAGGGCACAAGCACUGCCACUACUGGGAUGGCACCUCUGUUUCCAUGUCCAUGUCCGUCUCCGUGUCGGCAUCCUCUGCCGUGCUGAGGAACUUCGACCUAAACCUGUUGUCGAUGCCGGAGAACAUAGGGGUGAAGAGGUGGGACGAGGACGAGGAGGUGCAGAGCCCUCUCCCCACCAAGAAGCUGAGUCUUUUGCUAUAA